Molecule: ribosomal RNA, 397 nt
Filed under: uncultured bacterium
Lineage: Bacteria
Description: partial 16S ribosomal RNA
Rfam family: Bacterial small subunit ribosomal RNA
Source: RNAcentral
AUACGUAGGUGACAAGCGUUAUCCGGAUUUACUGGGCGUAAAGGGCGUGUAGGCGGUCUUGCAAGUCAGAAGUGAAAUUCCUGAGCUCAACUCGGGCGCUGCUUCUGAAACUGCAGGACUUGAGUGCUGGAGGGGAUAGCGGAAUUCCUAGUGGAGCGGUAAAAUGCGCAGAUAUUAGGAAGAACACCGGUGGCGAAGGCGGCUAUCUGGACAGUAACUGACGCUGAGGCGCGAAAGCGUGGGGAGCAAACAGGAUUAGAUACCCUGGUAGUCCACGCUGUAAACGAUGAAUACUAGGUGUAGGGGGUAUCGACUCCCUCUGUGCCGCAGUUAACACAAUAAGUAUUCCGCCUGGGGAGUACGGUCGCAAGGUUGAAACUCAAAGGAAUUGACGGGG